CCCCUGACCGCGUAUGAAGACGUUUCACCUCGGGUGGACAGGGAGACAGGUGGUGCAUGGUUGUCGUCAGCUCGUGUCGUGAGAUGUUGGGUUAAGUCCCGCAACGAGCGCAACCCCUACGUUUAGUUGCUAACGCGUGAAGGCGAGCACUCUAGACGAACUGCCGUUGACAAAACGGAGGAAGGUGGGGGAUGACGUCAAAUCAUCAUGCCCCUUAUGUUCUGGGCUACACACGUGCUACAAUGGCCGGUACAGACGGACGCAAAGCCGCGAGGUGGAGCAAAUCCUAAAAAGCCGGUCUCAGUUCGGAUUGCAGGCUGCAAUUCGCCUGCAUGAAGUCGGAAUCGCUAGUAAUCGCAGGUCAGCAUACUGCGGUGAAUACGUUCCCGGGCCUU
Molecule: ribosomal RNA, 395 nt
Filed under: uncultured Pelotomaculum sp.
Lineage: Bacteria; Bacillati; Bacillota; Clostridia; Eubacteriales; Desulfotomaculaceae
Description: bacterial SSU rRNA
Rfam family: Bacterial small subunit ribosomal RNA
Source: RNAcentral